This 625-nucleotide ribosomal RNA is filed under the name Cercomonas hiberna. Its description in RNAcentral is "eukaryotic LSU rRNA". The stretch from base 332 to 625 matches the Rfam family "Eukaryotic large subunit ribosomal RNA", at positions 1 to 286 of the family's 3401-position model. Lineage: Eukaryota; Cercozoa; Cercomonadida; Cercomonadidae. The record is from RNAcentral.
GCGCUUCUUGGAUAGGCCAGGAAGCAUGCCUCUUUGAGUAUCGUUUUCACCCCAGCUCGACUGCUCUUUUGUAAUAAGAAGAGUUUCUGUCGGAGAAUGAGUUUGUCUUGUCUGAAAUAGAUAAGUCACUUUAAAUGCUGUGAGUGUUUUAAUCGCUAAUACUACCUAUGUUGGUUAGUUUGAUCUAAUCGUUUAGUAGUAAUAUGGAUAAUCUCUAUUUAUAUUACACCGCUAGAUGACGCGAUUGGCUAAUGUUAUCUGCAUGGACUAGUAGAUUAAUAACCGCACUCAGUGGAAAUUAUCUAAUACUUAAAUGUAUAUUUUUUGAAUUAGAUCUCAAAUGAAGCAAGACUACCCGCUGAACUUAAGCAUAUUAUUAAGCGGAGGAAAAGAAACUAACAAGGAUGCCCUCAGUAACGGCGAGUGAAGCGGGCGAAGCUCAACCUGAAAAUCGGAUAUCCAAGCGGGUGUUCGAAUUGUGGGCUAGAGACGCGUGAUCAGUGUGUGACCUAGGUAUAAAUCUUUUGAAACAAGGUAUCACAGAGGGUGAGAAUCCCGUCUUUGACCUAGAGUUUUCGCCACGUACGAUCCGUGUUCACAGAGUCGAGUUGUUUGGGAUUGCAGC